GACGAACGCUGGCGGCGUGCUUAACACAUGCAAGUCGAACGGAAAGGCCCUGCUUUUGUGGGGUGCUCGAGUGGCGAACGGGUGAGUAACACGUGAGUAACCUGCCCUUGACUUUGGGAUAACUUCAGGAAACUGGGGCUAAUACCGGAUAGGAGCUCCUGCUGCAUGGUGGGGGUUGGAAAGUUUCGGCGGUUGGGGAUGGACUCGCGGCUUAUCAGCUUGUUGGUGGGGUAGUGGCUUACCAAGGCUUUGACGGGUAGCCGGCCUGAGAGGGUGACCGGCCCCAUUGGCCCUCGGGAGCGGCCCGGGCCCUAUCGGGGGGCAGGGGUGGGGACUUUUUCCCAAGGGGCGGAGGCCUGGUGCACCAACCCCGGGUGGGGGAGGACGGCUUUUGGGUUGUAAACCGUUUUCGCCUUGAACGAGCCGGUGGUACCGGUAAGGGGGAAAGAACCCCCGCUUACCUCCUU
Molecule: ribosomal RNA, 467 nt
Filed under: uncultured bacterium
Lineage: Bacteria
Description: partial 16S ribosomal RNA
Rfam family: Bacterial small subunit ribosomal RNA
Source: RNAcentral